This is a non-coding RNA of Vicia faba (fava bean), 234 nucleotides long. Lineage: Eukaryota; Viridiplantae; Streptophyta; Magnoliopsida; Fabales; Fabaceae. The record is from the annotation of a GenBank genome assembly.
AUGUUAUCACAUUUCUCUCUUUCUCUCCGUCGUCUCUUCUCUUUCUUUUUCAGAAACCCUAAAAAUCAACCGCCACCGACGGCUUUCUCCCCCUAUUAUCGGCCACCACCACCUCCAAUGAAAAAAAAAUCAAAGGCUAUUCACACUCUUCAUCUCACUGGCUUCCUAAUGAACCGAAUAAGGUAUGCAUUAUUUCAUGUUUUUGUUUGUUGUUUUUACUAUAGCCAUGUUUAA